Molecule: transfer RNA, 73 nt
Filed under: Dictyocaulus viviparus (bovine lungworm)
Lineage: Eukaryota; Metazoa; Nematoda; Chromadorea; Rhabditida; Metastrongylidae
Rfam family: tRNA
About the family: Transfer RNA (tRNA) molecules are approximately 80 nucleotides in length. Their secondary structure includes four short double-helical elements and three loops (D, anti-codon, and T loops). Further hydrogen bonds mediate the characteristic L-shaped molecular structure. tRNAs have two regions of fundamental functional importance: the anti-codon, which is responsible for specific mRNA codon recognition, and the 3' end, to which the tRNAs corresponding amino acid is attached (by aminoacyl-tRNA synthetases). tRNAs cope with the degeneracy of the genetic code in two manners: having more than one tRNA (with a specific anti-codon) for a particular amino acid; and 'wobble' base-pairing, i.e. permitting non-standard base-pairing at the 3rd anti-codon position.
Source: Rfam by way of RNAcentral
GCCUUGGUAGUGUAAUGGACAAGCACGGCAGACCGGAUAUCUGUAAAUGUAGGUUCGAGUCUCGCCUGAUGCU